This 62-nucleotide ribosomal RNA is filed under the name Astyanax mexicanus (Mexican tetra). The record is from RNAcentral. Lineage: Eukaryota; Metazoa; Chordata; Actinopteri; Characiformes; Acestrorhamphidae.
AGGGUUUGGCCUGGUUAGUACUUGGAUGGGAGACCACCUGGGAAUACCAGGUGCUGUAAGCU